This 65-nucleotide transfer RNA is filed under the name Ophiarachnella gorgonia. Its description in RNAcentral is "tRNA-Cys". The record is from RNAcentral. Lineage: Eukaryota; Metazoa; Echinodermata; Ophiuroidea; Amphilepidida; Ophiodermatidae.
AGUUUUAUAGUGUAAAACCGCACAGUAGAUUGCAAAUCUAAAAGAAACAUUCUUGUUUAAAACUU